CAGUCGCCGCGGUAAUACAGAGGGUGCAAGCGUUAAUCGGAAUUACUGGGCGUAAAGCGCGCGUAGGUGGUUUGUUAAGUUGGAUGUGAAAGCCCCGGGCUCAACCUGGGAACUGCAUCCAAAACUGGCAAGCUAGAGUACGGUAGAGGGUGGUGGAAUUUCCUGUGUAGCGGUGAAAUGCGUAGAUAUAGGAAGGAACACCAGUGGCGAAGGCGACCACCUGGACUGAUACUGACACUGAGGUGCGAAAGCGUGGGGAGCAAACAGGAUUAGAGACCCCUGUAGUCCCUGUCUCUUAUAC
Molecule: ribosomal RNA, 301 nt
Filed under: uncultured bacterium
Lineage: Bacteria
Description: partial 16S ribosomal RNA
Rfam family: Bacterial small subunit ribosomal RNA
Source: RNAcentral